AUUUAUAUAGUUUAUAUAAAACAUUACAUUUUCAUUGUAAAAUAAAGAAUCUUUCUUUUUAAAUA
RNAcentral lists this transfer RNA (65 nucleotides) under Ceratophyllus anisus. RNAcentral's name for it is "tRNA-Glu". Lineage: Eukaryota; Metazoa; Arthropoda; Insecta; Siphonaptera; Ceratophyllidae. The record is from RNAcentral.